This is a long non-coding RNA of Macaca fascicularis (crab-eating macaque), 1911 nucleotides long. The record is from Ensembl. Lineage: Eukaryota; Metazoa; Chordata; Mammalia; Primates; Cercopithecidae.
GACAGCGCUUACCGCCCGGAGACAGCGCUUUACGCGCCGAGGGAGACACCACGCCGCCGCAGGGAGCACGCCGCUAGACACCGCGCCCGGGAGACAGCGCUACGCCCGCCGCAGGGAGACAGCGCUUUACGCCCGCCGCUGGGAGACACCGCUUACCGGCCGGGAGACACCGCUUCGCCGGGAGACACCGCCGCGCGGAGACAGCGCACGCAGACAGCGCCACGCCGCAGGGAGACGCCGCCCACCGCCGCUGGGAGACACCGCUUUACGCCCACCGGAUGCGCCUGCCGCAGGGUGACACCGCCGCUACCACAGGAGACACACCGGAUACGCCCUCCGCAGGGAGACAGCGGUUUACACCCACGGGAUACGGCCGCCGCAGGGAGAUACCACUUUACACCCAGCAGAAUGGAAAAAAUCUCCACCUGGAAGCACAAUAUUAAAGAAUAGAAGAGUGCUAUGUUUGCACCAUCACUACUUAAAGCAAAGCUCUACACGGUGCUGCGUUUUUCUCCAUUUGCAUUGGGUGAGUGGAUCUUUAUAAAUUCUUUAUAGCUUCUGAUCAACCAGACAUCACACAUUUCUAGAAAGUUGUCACAGCUUAAAUGAUCUAUACAGGAGGUAGGUCCAGAAACACAUCAAGGCAAUGUGCCAUCCCAACUGUGAUCAAAGGUUAAUUCCAUGGCUAUGAACAUAAACAGACCUGGAUUUGGGUUCUAUUUUAACAAAUAGGUAGGAUUGCGACUUUGGGAGAAAGGAUCUGUCUGAUCCCUUUUCAUUCAUUUCACUUCCCAAACUUGUGGGGCUUAAAGGCAAUCUCUACACCCAUGGGCUAAUAUAAAAUUAAGUCCAGAGAAAACAGCUAGCUUCAAUUUGGGGAUACGGCUACACGCUUUUAGCAGUUAGGGGCUUCCUAGAUAUUCGGAGUGGGUAUCGUUCAAGAAAAAAUUUAUAGAGGAGAAAAUAGUUUCAGACCAUAAAUUUAUAGGACCUGUUUUACAAGGAAAAAAUCAGAGUGUGGCUUAAUGCUAUUUUGGAAAUAGCAGGUUGGUAUAAUAUCACUGGCAGCAUUGUUGCUUAUGAAAGUCAUGAUUCGUAAAAUAAUAUCAUCGUGAAGCAAACAAAGGGACUUGGUAGGAACAUUAAACUAAACUAACACCAAAAACAUACGGAACAAAAAACCCCAAACUGCGUCCUAACCCAUGGAAAUUUGUUAAAAAAAUUUAAGUAAAAUUAUCGAUCAAAACUUUGUUUUAUAAAAUAAAAGCAUAGUUGUUUCAUUUCGUUUUUCUUCAGCUGGUGUAUAUGUCACUAUUUCUUCAUGUUUCAUUACUAUAGAUUUUGAGUUGCAAGAUUAAAUACAGGAUUGUUUUAUGUAUUUUAAGUCAAAGAUCAAUUGUGAUUUCAGAACCAGGACAUAAAGUCAUAAUUUGGAAUAACUUAUUUUUAAAUCCAUUAUCCAUUUAGCCAUGCAACAAAUAUUUAUGGGCUUACUCUAUGGCAGUCCUUACUUUAAUUGCCAGGGAUCCAGUAAUGAAUUAAAUAGACAAAGUCUCUGCAUUCAGUGCGAGAGGAGAGAAGCAAUGAACAAACGUAUCCUAAAUGACCCAUAGGAUAAUAAGAGCUAUAAGGAAAAUAAACCAGUUCAGAAGUACAGCUUCAGGGAAAGGGAACAUCUCUUCACUAUAAUUGUUAAAAAUAAUCUGAUAGUAAAACUUAACUAUUUUGCAGAACAUACUCUGUUUCUUUCUUGAAUCUUAGCUAUGACAAUUAGAAUAUAUGAGUCAUUUAGGAUUAGAAUCAGCUGUUGUAUUAGUCCUUUUUCACACUGCUGUAAAGAAAUACCCAAGACUGAGUAAUUUAUAAGUGAAGGAGGUUUAAUUGACUCACACUUCCCCAGGGCUGGGGAGG